UACGUAGGGCGCAAGCGUUAUCCGGAAUUAUUGGGCGUAAAGAGCUCGUAGGCGGUUUGUCGCGUCUGCCGUGAAAGUCCGGGGCUCAACUCCGGAUCUGCGGUGGGUACGGGCAGACUAGAGUGAUGUAGGGGAGACUGGAAUUCCUGGUGUAACGGUGAAAUGCGCAGAUAUCAGGAGGAACACCGAUGGCGAAGGCAGGUCUCUGGGCAUUAACUGACGCUGAGGAGCGAAAGCAUGGGGAGCGAACAGG
RNAcentral lists this ribosomal RNA (253 nucleotides) under uncultured bacterium. RNAcentral describes it as "partial 16S ribosomal RNA". It matches the Rfam family "Bacterial small subunit ribosomal RNA", at positions 524 to 776 of the family's 1533-position model. The record is from RNAcentral.